RNAcentral lists this non-coding RNA (24 nucleotides) under Arabidopsis thaliana (thale cress). The record is from RNAcentral. Lineage: Eukaryota; Viridiplantae; Streptophyta; Magnoliopsida; Brassicales; Brassicaceae.
UUAAUCAAAACUCAAUUCGACGGU